This 497-nucleotide ribosomal RNA is filed under the name uncultured bacterium. Its description in RNAcentral is "partial 16S ribosomal RNA". It matches the Rfam family "Bacterial small subunit ribosomal RNA", at positions 28 to 507 of the family's 1533-position model. The record is from RNAcentral.
GAUGAACGCUGGCGGCGUGCCUAAUACAUGCCAGUCGAGCGAACGGACGAGAAGCUUGCUUUUCUGAUGUUAGCGGCGGACGGGUGAGUAACACGUGGAUAACCUACCUAUAAGACUGGGAUAACUUCGGGAAACCGGAGCUAAUACCGGAUAAUAUUUUGAACCGCAUGGUUCAAAAGUGAAAGACGGUCUUGCUGUCACUUAUAGAUGGAUCCGCGCUGCAUUAGCUAGUUGGUAAGGUAACGGCUUACCAAGGCAACGAUGCAUAGCCGACCUGAGAGGGUGAUCGGCCACACUGGAACUGAGCCACGGUCCAGACUCCUACGGGAGGCAGCAGUAGGGAAUCUUCCGCAAUGGGCGAAAGCCUGACGGAGCAACGCCGCGUGAGUGAUGAAGGUCUUCGGAUCGUAAAACUCUGUUAUUAGGGAAGAACAUAUGUGUAAGUAACUGUGCACAUCUUGACGGUACCUAAUCAGAAAGCCACGGCUAACUACGUG